Molecule: long non-coding RNA, 212 nt
Filed under: Ursus thibetanus thibetanus
Lineage: Eukaryota; Metazoa; Chordata; Mammalia; Carnivora; Ursidae
Description: lncRNA (ENSUTTG00000001088.1)
Source: RNAcentral
AUUCAAGCCAUAUGGCCUGAAGCUGGAUAGGCAGUUCCUUUAAGGAGAUUCAUGAUGAAUACAGGAGCUAAAACAAUAGGUAUCAGCUUCCCUUGGUAAGCUGUGGACACCAUAGUUUAAGAAGGUUAAGAAGAACUUAAAAUGGAGAGUCCCUUGAAUGAUUCAAAUGUGGAAAAAGAAAACCUGUGAGAAAAGAUAAAGGUAUUGCUAUU